AACGAACGCUGGCGGCAUGCCUAACACAUGCAAGUCGAACGAAGGCUUCGUCCUUAGUGGCGCACGCGUGCGGAACGCGGGGGAAGCUGCCCUUAGCCUUCGGAUACCAGUUAUACAUGACUGCUAACACCGGAAGACGUCGCAAGACCAAAGAUUUAUCGGCCAAGGAUGAGCCCGCGUAGGUCUAGCUAGUAGGUGGGGUAAAGGCCUACCAAGGCGGCGAUCCUUAGCUGGGCUGAGAGGAUGAUCCGCCACACUGGGACUGAGACACGGCCCAGACUCCUGCGGGAGGCAGCAGUGCUGAACAUUGGACACUGGGCGAGUGCCUGAUCCAGCAGUGCCGCGUGAGUGAUGAAGGCCUUAGGAUUGUAAAGCUCUUUUACCCGGGAUGAUCUUGCCGGUACCAGAGGAAUAGGCUCCGGCUAACUCCGU
Molecule: ribosomal RNA, 432 nt
Filed under: uncultured bacterium
Lineage: Bacteria
Description: partial 16S ribosomal RNA
Rfam family: Bacterial small subunit ribosomal RNA
Source: RNAcentral